Molecule: non-coding RNA, 45 nt
Filed under: Schistosoma mansoni
Lineage: Eukaryota; Metazoa; Platyhelminthes; Trematoda; Strigeidida; Schistosomatidae
Source: RNAcentral
AUCCAGCUGACGAGCCCCGAAUAGGACAAAACGUUCGUGCUGCAU